Molecule: ribosomal RNA, 492 nt
Filed under: uncultured bacterium
Lineage: Bacteria
Description: partial 16S ribosomal RNA
Rfam family: Bacterial small subunit ribosomal RNA
Source: RNAcentral
AUUGAACGCUGGCGGCAGGCCUAACACAUGCAAGUCGAGCGGCAGCACAGUGAUUGCUUGUGGAUACGGCGGGGGAGGGGCGGGUGGUGCAGAGAAACAUGCCUAGCAGCUGGGGAUAACGUGCGGACGCGGGGGCACAUACCGCAAAACUCCAGACGACGUACGGGGGGGAGCAUCGGAUCUUCCGACCUUACACGAGUCAAGGAGGCGAUGUCGGAUUAGUUAGUUGGAGGGGUAAAGGCCCACCAAGGCGACGAUCCGUUACUGGUCUGAGAGGAUGAUCAGUCACACUGGAACUGAGACACGGUCCAGACUCCUACGGGCGGCAGCAGUGGGGAAUAUUGGACAAUGGGCGAAAGCCUGAUCCAGCCAUGCCGCGUGUGUGAAGAAGGUCUUCGGAUUGUAAAGCCCUUUUGUUUGGGAGGAAGAGCAGCAAGUUAAUACCUUGCUGUUUUGACGUUACCAACAGAAUAAGCACCGGCUAACUUCGUG